Molecule: ribosomal RNA, 277 nt
Filed under: uncultured prokaryote
Description: partial 16S ribosomal RNA
Rfam family: Bacterial small subunit ribosomal RNA
Source: RNAcentral
UACGGAGGAUCCGAGCGUUAUCCGGAUUUAUUGGGUUUAAAGGGUGCGCAGGCGGGAGAUUAAGUCGGCGGUGAAAUUUUGCAGCUCAACUGUAAAAGUGCCUUCGAAACUGGUUUCCUUGAGUGUAGAUGAAGUAGGCGGAAUUUGUGGUGUAGCGGUGAAAUGCAUAGAUAUCACGAGGAACUCCGAUCGCGUAGGCAGCUUACUAAACCAUAACUAACGCUCAUGCACGAAGGCGUGGGGAUCAAACAGGAUUAGAUACCCCGGUAGUCCCUGA